Molecule: long non-coding RNA, 914 nt
Organism: Notolabrus celidotus (New Zealand spotty)
Lineage: Eukaryota; Metazoa; Chordata; Actinopteri; Labriformes; Labridae
Exons: 2
Source: RefSeq, a predicted model, not a curated record
GCAGCUGUGUCCACUCAUACUGACAAGAGAAAGAUCAAGCACAUUGCACCCUCCUCUAGUUUUUCCACCAAUUUCUUCGAGUUUAACAGAAAAUCACAUGGUUUCACUACUGUCAGAGAAAGAGGCAACUGUGCAGAAAUACUUUCAUCAGGCUGACGUCUCCAUAUGAAGGCACCGUUGGAUUAAAGAGGAGGAGGCAGAGAAGGUUAAGCCAUGAAGAGAGGAGUGUGUCAGAUCCGCGGCUUCUCAUUUGUCAAUACAGUGAUGUCAACAUAUACCCCUCUGGCUGAUACUCAUGGGAGAAACGUUCAACAGAGAUCCAGACAAGGAGCAGGUGGAGAUUAGCUUGCAGGUUAGUGGUAGAAAGGUAGCAGGUGGGCUGAGAAAGUUAGAAUGAGACUAACCACAGAACCACAGAAGCUGCUGCAUGUCAGGAGCCAGUCAGUCGGCUCUGAUCCCCCACUAUGAGGCUCAGUUCAUGAAGGCUGAGUCAACGCAUCCAACCCUGAAGUCAGGAAUCUACCCCUGGAGGAAUAAAAUCAGGUCAUGGUGGCGGAGGCAGUCGCACAUCUAGUAAGCUAUACGCAAAUAUGUUCCAGAAGACAGCACAGAGCACAAAUAAGGUGUAGACACAGAAAAAAAUCCAAAACAAGGACUGCUCCUGGAGUCUCUGCUCAUAGUUCUGUAGGACCACCACACCCAGAGUCAGACCAACAACCACCCCUCCAAGGUGAGCUACAAAGCUGGGGUUAGGGCACGGAGGAAAGGCCGGAGGGUAGAAGCGGAGCCACACCGCCCGACCAAACUCUACACUCACUGUAAGCAGACAAAGAAAGAGAGAAAAGACAGUAUUAACAAAGUUCCUGACAACAAACUUUACAAUGUAAUAAAAUAAGCUCCUCUAUUAAGCGCAA